CCUACGGGUGGCUGCAGUGGGGAAUCUUAGACAAUGGGCGCAAGCCUGAUCUAGCCAUGCCGCGUGAGUGAUGAAGGCCUUAGGGUCGUAAAGCUCUUUCGCCAGAGAUGAUAAUGACAGUAUCUGGUAAAGAAACCCCGGCUAACUCCGUGCCAGCAGCCGCGGUAAUACGGAGGGGGUUAGCGUUGUUCGGAAUUACUGGGCGUAAAGCGCACGUAGGCGGAUCAGAAAGUUGGGGGUGAAAUCCCAGGGCUCAACCCGGGAACGGCCUCCAAAACUCCUGGUCAUGAGUUCGAGAGAGGUGAGUGGAAUUCCGAGUGUAGAGGUGAAAUUCGUAGAUAUUCGGAGGAACACCAGUGGCGAAGGCGGCUCACUGGCUCGAUACUGACGCUGAGGUGCGAAAGUGUGGGGAGCAAACAGGAUUAGAUACCCGUGUAGUCG
This 441-nucleotide ribosomal RNA is filed under the name uncultured Phaeobacter sp. Its description in RNAcentral is "bacterial SSU rRNA". It matches the Rfam family "Bacterial small subunit ribosomal RNA", at positions 338 to 796 of the family's 1533-position model. Lineage: Bacteria; Pseudomonadati; Pseudomonadota; Alphaproteobacteria; Rhodobacterales; Roseobacteraceae. The record is from RNAcentral.